This 318-nucleotide unclassified non-coding RNA is filed under the name air metagenome. RNAcentral describes it as "partial contains small subunit ribosomal RNA, internal transcribed spacer 1, and 5.8S ribosomal RNA". The stretch from base 1 to 46 matches the Rfam family "Eukaryotic small subunit ribosomal RNA", at positions 1786 to 1831 of the family's 1831-position model. The record is from RNAcentral.
AAGUCGUAACAAGGUAACCGUAGGUGAACCUGCGGUUGGAUCAUUACUGAUUAGUUUGCGUGUCGUUUUUCUCUCGGGGGAAACGAUACGUAGACGAAAACACCCCCUUUGUGAACUUAUAACCUGUUUUGGAGUUGGCUCCACCUUAAAGGACUUUUUUCAAUGGUAUUUUUAAUACUUGUUGGGGGAUUUCCCGGGAGCCUUCGCCGCAUUUGACCACACCUUAGUAUUUUUAUGUAUUACAUGUCUCCAUGCGAUUCAACUGAGAAACGCGUAUUAAAUUUAAUACAACUUUUGACAACGGAUCUCUUGGCUCUC